Long non-coding RNA from Zalophus californianus (California sea lion), 463 nucleotides. RefSeq lists it as uncharacterized. NCBI's taxonomy places the organism in Eukaryota, Metazoa, Chordata, Mammalia, Carnivora, Otariidae. The record is from RefSeq and is a predicted model, not a curated record. The transcript has 3 exons.
CCAGCCCCACAGAAAGUCUAGAGUUCCUUCCCAAUGAAUCCCACACCCGACCCCAGGCAACCACUGUACCCACUUCUCUCACACUAGCAACCAGAAACCUCGUAAUUCUUCAUCUACGUGUCUGUCUCUACCACUGGACCCUGAGCUCCCCGAGGACAAAGACUUCAUUGUCCACAUCCGCAUCCUCAGGAGCUAGUGCAGGGCCUGGCUUAGAAAAAUCUUACGAUUGCUGCCCAUUCAUUGGACUCCAAAAUAGAAAGCAUCCCAUGUGAAGAGCGCCUCAUUCCUACUCCAACCAAAGCAACUGUACUUUUUAAUAUAUUGGACUUCCAAGUAGCUUCCCUCUGAAACCAGAUUCUCUGGUUUAAAAAAGUGCAAAAGAGUUUGAAAAAGCACUGUCUACUCCCAGGCUCCAUGCCCAACGUGGGGCUUGAACUCACAACUCGGAGAUCAAGAGUCACAU